GAUGAACGCUGGCGGCGUGCCUAAUACAUGCAAGUCGAGCGAACGGACGAGAAGCUUGCUUCUCUGAUGUUAGCGGCGGACGGGUGAGUAACACGUGGAUAACCUACCUAUAAGACUGUGAUAACUUCGGGAAACCGGAGCUACUACCGGAUGAUAUUUUGAACCGCAUGGUUCAAAAGUGAAAGACGGUCUUGCUGUCACUUAUAGAUGGAUCCGCGCUGCAUUAGCUAGUUGGUAAGGUAACGGCUUACCAAGGCAACGAUGCAUAGCCGACCUGAGAGGGUGAUCGGCCACACUGGAACUGAGACACGGUCCAGACUCCUACGGGAGGCAGCAGUAGGGAAUCUUCCGCAAUGGGCGAAAGCCUGACGGAGCAACGCCGCGUGAGUGAUGAAGGUCUUCGGAUCGUAAAACUCUGUUAUUAGGGAAGAACAUAUGUGUAAGUAACUGUGCACAUCUUGACGGUACCUAAUCAGAAAGCCACGGCUAACUACGUG
Molecule: ribosomal RNA, 497 nt
Filed under: uncultured bacterium
Lineage: Bacteria
Description: partial 16S ribosomal RNA
Rfam family: Bacterial small subunit ribosomal RNA
Source: RNAcentral